RNAcentral lists this ribosomal RNA (241 nucleotides) under uncultured bacterium. RNAcentral's name for it is "partial 16S ribosomal RNA". It matches the Rfam family "Bacterial small subunit ribosomal RNA", at positions 524 to 761 of the family's 1533-position model. The record is from RNAcentral.
UACGAAGGGGACUAGGCGUUGUUCGGAAUCACUGGGCGUAAAGCGCACGUAGGCGGAUUGUUAAGUCGGGGGUGAAAUCCGUGGAGCUCAACUCCAGAACGUGCCUUCGAUACUGGCGAUCUUGAGUCCGGGAGAGGUGAGUGGAACUCCGAGUGUAGAGGUGAAAUUCGUAGAUAUUCGGAAGAACACCAGUGGCGAAGGCGGCUCGCUGGCCCGGUACUGACGCUGAGGUGCGAAAGCG